Molecule: microRNA precursor, 81 nt
Organism: Anolis carolinensis (green anole)
Lineage: Eukaryota; Metazoa; Chordata; Lepidosauria; Squamata; Anolidae
Source: Ensembl
CUCUACAGUCCUUCUCAAAAUGGAAACAGGAAAUAGAGUCAGAUCACUUCUUGUUGUCAUUUUGAGAUGAACUUUAUAGAA